This 439-nucleotide ribosomal RNA is filed under the name uncultured bacterium. Its description in RNAcentral is "partial 16S ribosomal RNA". It matches the Rfam family "Bacterial small subunit ribosomal RNA", at positions 339 to 795 of the family's 1533-position model. The record is from RNAcentral.
CUACGGGGGGCACCAGUGGGGAAUAUUGCACAAUGGGCGAAAGCCUGAUGCAGCAACGCCGCGUGGAGGAUGACACAUUUCGGUGCGUAAACUCCUUUUAUAUAAGAAGAUAAUGACGGUAUUAUAUGAAUAAGCACCGGCUAACUCCGUGCCAGCAGCCGCGGUAAUACGGGGGGUGCAAGCGUUACUCGGAAUCACUGGGCGUAAAGAGCAUGUAGGCUGGAUGACAAGUUGGAAGUGAAAUCCUAUGGCUUAACCAUAGAACUGCUUCCAAAACUGUCUUCCUAGAGUAUGGGAGAGGUAGAUGGAAUUUCUGGUGUAGGGGUAAAAUCCGUAGAGAUCAGAAGGAAUACCGAUUGCGAAGGCGAUCUACUGGAACAUUACUGACGCUCAGAUGCGAAAGCGUGGGGAGCAAACAGGAUUAGAUACCCGGGUAGUC